This 877-nucleotide ribosomal RNA is filed under the name Trupanea joycei. RNAcentral's name for it is "partial 16S ribosomal RNA". Lineage: Eukaryota; Metazoa; Arthropoda; Insecta; Diptera; Tephritidae. The record is from RNAcentral.
AUUAUUUGAAAUGAAAUGUUAUUCGUUUAUAAAGAUAUCUAGUUUUUUUAGAAAUAAAUUUAAUUUAAAAGUUUUUAAUUUUAUUAAUUAUUUAUAUUAAUUAAUAAAUUUAUAAAUUUUAAUAUUUUAAGGGAUAAGCUUUAGAAUAAAUUUUUAUAAAUUAAUAAAUUAUAAUUAAAAUUAUAUACAUAGAAUUAGUAAUUAUUAAAAAAUUUGUUAUAAAUUAUUUUAUAAAAUAUAUUAUUUAUUAUAAUUUUAAAUUUUUAUAAAAAUAUAUUUUUUAAUUUUAUUUAAAAAGUAACAAUGAUAAAAUUAGUAUAUUUAUAUUAUGUAAAUAUAAUUUAUUUUGAUAAGUUUAUAUAAAGAACUCGGCAAAUAUUUUACUCGCCUGUUUAACAAAAACAUGUCUUUUUGUGUUAUUUUAAAAGUCUAACCUGCCCAAUGAAUAAAUUUAAUGGCCGCAGUAUUUUGACUGUGCAAAGGUAGCAUAAUCAUUAGUCUUUUAAUUGAAGGCUUGAAUGAAUGGUUGGACGAAGUAUAAUCUGUUUCAUUUAAAUUUAUUAUAGAAUUUUAUAUUUUAGUAAAAAAGCUAAAAUAUUUUUAAAAGACGAGAAGACCCUAUAAAUCUUUAUAAUUUAUUUUAUUUUAAUUUUUUAUAUUUAUUUUAUUUUAAUAAUUUGAAUUAUUUUGUUGGGGUGAUAUUAAAAUUUAAAAAACUUUUAAUUUAAUUAUUUCAUUAAUUUAUGUUUUAUUGAUCCAUUUAUUAUGAUUAAAAGAAUAAGUUACUUUAGGGAUAACAGCGUAAUUUUUUUGGAGAGUUCUUAUUGAUAAAAAAGUUUGCGACCUCGAUGUUGGAUUAAGAUAUAAUUUAGGUGUA